This 127-nucleotide transfer RNA is filed under the name Auricularia subglabra TFB-10046 SS5. RNAcentral's name for it is "tRNA-Val". The record is from RNAcentral. Lineage: Eukaryota; Fungi; Basidiomycota; Agaricomycetes; Auriculariales; Auriculariaceae.
GGUUCGAUGGCGUAGUUGGUUAUCGCAUCUGUCUAACAACUUAGUCGUGAAUCUAAUGUUCAGUUCUGGGCAUUAGAUUCCGGCUCUGGCACACAGAAGGUCGCAGUUUCGAACACUGCUCGAAUCA